CACAGGUAUGGAGACAUGGUGCCUAGCACCAUUGCUGGCAAAAUUUUUGGGUCCAUUUGCUCACUUAGUGGUGUCUUGGUUAUUGCCUUGCCUGUGCCAGUCAUUGUGUCCAAC
Molecule: non-coding RNA, 114 nt
Organism: Cricetulus griseus (Chinese hamster)
Lineage: Eukaryota; Metazoa; Chordata; Mammalia; Rodentia; Cricetidae
Source: Rfam